AUUCUAGUCUACAGCCACACCACGCUGAACGUGCCCGAUAUCGGCUCACCUUGGAAGCUAAGCAGGGUCGGGCCUGGUUCGUGCUCAGAUGGG
Molecule: microRNA precursor, 93 nt
Filed under: Echinops telfairi (small Madagascar hedgehog)
Lineage: Eukaryota; Metazoa; Chordata; Mammalia; Afrosoricida; Tenrecidae
Description: miRNA (ENSETEG00000025578.1)
Source: RNAcentral